CUUAAAGUUGACUGGCUGCGAUUAUUUGCUUGAGCAUUGUUUGAUCCCUUUAGAGACUCACCAUGACAAAAUCAACUAUCAUAUGAUGGCAUAAUACCAUUAAUCACAAGAUGAUCAUAUGCUAUAGUCCGAUUUACUUGAUGGAUAAGCACACACUCCGUACAAGGACAUGCAAUUUGUUCUCCAUCUUGUUUUUCAGAAAAGGCAUGGUUUAUAAACUCCUCUACUCCAUCCAAAUAUUAUUUACUAACUCUAUCACAAUGCAUCCAUCUUUAUUUCUAGGAUUGUCCAUGACGUUCAAGAUAUUCUUUUUUGUUCUAUACUUACUGCAAGAGCUAAAAAUUCAUUAGUAAAAAGAGAAAAUUAAUAAAAAAAUAUAGUUCAAAUAAAACAACCAUCUUAUUAGUAGGUAAUUCCAUACCUCAAAGAUAUCAUUUUAAGAAUUAAAACUAUCAAACAUAAAUCCAUUAAAACUAUCAAAUAGUUAAACUAUCUCUAAUUUCUUCAAUGGUUUCCAUAUAUUGGUUCAUAAACUUUUUAAGAAUAGAAUUAUGAAACUUAUAAAUUAUACUUCUUCUAUGGUUUUCAUAUUUUUGUUCGUAAACUUUUUAAGAAUAGAAUUAUUACUUAUAAAUUAUAGAAGAACCAUACGCCAUAUAUUUUAAAAUUGAAGAUAUUACAAUUGUCAAACCCUCACUGUAUAUGGAUAUGAGCUAGCUGAAUAAUUUGCAAAUUUCAGCAAUGAUAUAGCAAUUUGCAAUUUUAGAAAUGUGAAUGAGGUCAUUCAAAGGCAUACAUUAUUUUCUUGAAGUAUGAUGUGUUAUAAUCCCUUAAAAAAGAUGAUGAACUGUUGUACUACAAUCCCUAAGUAAAGCAGAAAAAAGCUGAUAGUUUAAAUUUUUCUCAUGGUCCAACUUCUUUCUUCACUUCACAAAUUAUUUAUUCUUUCGAUAAUUUUUCUUAACUUUAUUGUUUUGCCAUACUCAUAGCGAAAAUUGAAGUGUAGAUUGUUAGAUGAAUUGAAAAACUUUUUGAUUAGUAAACCCAAUAACCUAUCGGAGAAACAGUUAGAGCAAAAGGAUCAAAUCAGUCAAGCUGAGCAUAUGCUUAUUUCGUACAGAGGCAUCAGAUUUAUGAAAAUAAGAAAAGCUCGCAUCAAUUAGCAAAAAUAAAAAACAGUAUGUAUGUCGACUAGUGGAUUCAUGUCCCGUCUAGUGGUAGAUUCAAUGAAAAUAUCAAUAUGCAUCGACGACACUUAAAAAGUUUCUGAAUAGUCACAAGAAUAAUAGUAGCCUUAGAAAAUAUACAGAGGAAUCAAUUCAUAAAACAGUAGAGGAACAGAGGAGGAAUAAACUCAAUCAAUCGCACAUCAAUUUAACAGCAGCUGGUUAUCACAAACGACUUAGCAUAUGCAGAAAAACUAUACUUUCACAAAUCUCAAAAUGCAAUAGUUGGAUAUCAAAAAUUACAAAUGUUUACCUGGUAAGCAGAUUUUUUUGCAAAAAAGACAAGAAAUUGAAGGAGAUGAUAAAUUUUUGCAACAAUCUUGAACCUACACAAAAAGAGAAGUUGGAGACGGAUUAAAAGGAGAAUACUGAUGACGAAGAUUGAGCAUAAUCGAGCAGCACCAAUACCAACUCAAUUUAAAUCGCACUUGCUGGGUAAGAAGAGAAGUUAUACCUGGGGAAAAAGAGGAUUUAUCUCUGGAAAAAGUUGAUGGAGACCUGAUCGAUGUAGGCUAGCAGAGUCGCGACUUUGUUAAUCCUGUUCGAUGUGGGAUUUGGCACAAUUCUACAUCCGUUCAACGAAGGGAAAAAGAUGAUCGAGAUCUGGUCGAAGUAGGCUUGCAGAGUCGUGACUAUGUUUGAUGUUAAUCCUGUUCGAUGUUUUUGGGCGUGAUUAUGUAUCCGCUCAACGAAGGGAAUAUGUUUUCCUCUUAUUUUCUAAUUGGAGGGAAU
Molecule: long non-coding RNA, 1958 nt
Filed under: Nicotiana tabacum (common tobacco)
Lineage: Eukaryota; Viridiplantae; Streptophyta; Magnoliopsida; Solanales; Solanaceae
Description: long non-coding RNA (NTAB_LNC018358)
Source: RNAcentral